Molecule: long non-coding RNA, 332 nt
Organism: Penaeus monodon (black tiger shrimp)
Lineage: Eukaryota; Metazoa; Arthropoda; Malacostraca; Decapoda; Penaeidae
Exons: 3
Source: RefSeq, a predicted model, not a curated record
AUAGAACACUAGGGGCGAAAAAUGGUGAACAAAGGGGCUGCUGUAUUCGCAUUGGUUCUCAGUCUGUUGGUUUUACAGGCAGCUUCGAAACCAGUGCUGCCAGGCCUCGAAUUCCUGGAAGGUCUCGGAGGAAUCAUUAAAAUAGUUUCUGCUCUUGGGGCAGGAUAAACCCGAAGAUGUAUUCGCCACGUAUUAUACAAAUAACAUGGGUCGCUUGCCUUAGUAAAAAUCUGUAAGUUAUGUGCAGAAUAAAUUGUUUUUCAAAUGUUAUCUAAUAAAUAACCAGCUUUUUUAUAAAUGUACAUCGGAAUAAAGAUCAGAUUAUGUGUAAA